This 822-nucleotide long non-coding RNA is filed under the name Gossypium raimondii (Peruvian cotton). Its description in RNAcentral is "long non-coding RNA (GRAI_LNC002890)". The record is from RNAcentral. Lineage: Eukaryota; Viridiplantae; Streptophyta; Magnoliopsida; Malvales; Malvaceae.
CCCAACAUGGGCCUUUACACGACCAUAUCCCUUUAAAAAACCCUAAAUACCAAUUUUUUUUAUCUUCUUCCUCCCCCAACCCUUUCCCAAAAACCCUAGCUAUCAAUUUUCCCCUUCUCCUCACCAUUCUGACCAGCCACCGUCAUGCUUCUUCUUCACUCAUCUCCCUUUGCUGACGAUCAACAAACCAACCCUCUCUAUUCUUUUCCUUCACCCCCUUUCUAGCGCUACCCCUUUCCCCUUUUUCAUUCUCCCUCAUCAACAACUAGCCACCCCAGUCUGCCCCUUCCUCAUCCCUCAAAUUCUCCCUUUUCCCCCUUUUUCUCCCUUUCUUUUCCUUUCUCCCUCGUCAACACCUUCGGGCUACCUUUCAUCGUCAAGACACCCCCUCCCUUCCUCUUCAUCUCCUCUCCCUUUAACCUGUCCCCCAAGCCUCCGUCCUCCUCACCAUUCCCCUUACUCUCUCCCCGUUCAUCCUCUAUUGUCGGAACCUCACCUCCAGUUAUCUAUUGCUGCAUCUCCUCCUUCGCGUGUGCCAUCGUGAUUCACCUAACCCCCACCAUUUUCCCUCUUCUUUUUCUUCCUUUCUUUAUUUGUUUUUCUUUUUCCUUUAUUUAUUUAUUUAUUUAUUUUGUUUCUUAUUAUUAUUUCUUAUUAUUAUUAUUACCAUUGACACUAGUCUUAUUUUCCCUACUGUUAACUCUAGUUUUACUCUUAUUUUCUUGUUAUGUCUAUUAUUGUUGUUUUUAUUCUUAUCACUAUUAUUACUGUUCUCGAUAGUUUAUUUUUAUUAUUAAUUGUAUUUGGCUUUGUUGAUUUUUA